UACGAAGGGUGCAAACGUUGCUCGGAAUUAUUGGGCGUAAGGCGCACGUAGGCGGCUUGGCAAGUCGGAUGUGAAAUCCCUCGGCUCAACCAAGGAAGUGCAUCCGAAACUGCUGAGCUUGAGUACUUAAGAAGAUCGCGGAAUUCCCGGUGUAGAGGUGAAAUUCGUAGAUAUCGGGAGGAACACCAGUGGCGAAGGCGGCGAUCUGGGAAGAUACUGACGCUGAGGUGCGAAAGCGUGGGGAGCAAACAGG
RNAcentral lists this ribosomal RNA (253 nucleotides) under uncultured bacterium. Its description in RNAcentral is "partial 16S ribosomal RNA". It matches the Rfam family "Bacterial small subunit ribosomal RNA", at positions 524 to 776 of the family's 1533-position model. The record is from RNAcentral.